GCCAUGCAUGGUAGCGCAUGCCUGUAAUCCCAACAGCUCUGGAGGCUGAGGCAGGAGGAUUGCAAGUUCAUAGCAACAGUGAGGCACUAAGCAACUCAGUGAGACUCUGUCUCUA
RNAcentral lists this small RNA (115 nucleotides) under Marmota monax (woodchuck). The record is from RNAcentral. Lineage: Eukaryota; Metazoa; Chordata; Mammalia; Rodentia; Sciuridae.